This 176-nucleotide small RNA is filed under the name Pongo abelii (Sumatran orangutan). RNAcentral's name for it is "processed transcript". The record is from RNAcentral. Lineage: Eukaryota; Metazoa; Chordata; Mammalia; Primates; Hominidae.
GGAUUCAGGUGAUGGAGGUGUUUUAUGAGCACACACAAAACAAGUGAUACAUGUUUUUGUCUCCACUUAAGAUGAAAGGAAUUUUCUUCUUUGACCACAGUGUUUCACACAAGAUCUCCCAGCUGGACGUUCAAAAUAGCUUUUGAUGUCUUAGGGCGUCUUUUAUUCAACCCUAG